Molecule: ribosomal RNA, 485 nt
Filed under: Pezizomycetes sp. AU102
Lineage: Eukaryota; Fungi; Ascomycota; Pezizomycetes
Description: eukaryotic LSU rRNA
Rfam family: 5.8S ribosomal RNA (bases 119-272)
Source: RNAcentral
GCCCUCUGCAUGGUUGUGCUGACCCCACACUUGACAGGGAGUUGCCCGUGGUAAGACCCCAAUAUUACACUUGUUAUAUAUACUAUAAUGUCUGAAUAAAUCAUUUCAAAUGAAAUAAAACUUUCAACAACGGAUCUCUAGGCUCUUGCAUCGAUGAAGAACGCAGUGAAAUGCGAUAAGUAAUGUGAAUUGCAGAAUCUCGUGAAUCAUCGAAUCUUUGAACGCACAUUGCGCCCUAUGGUAUUCCGUAGGGCAUGCCUGUCUGAGCGUCAGCUCCCCCCAACUCAAACUUUUGUUAGUUUGGAUUACUUUGAAGGUGUAGCUUGUCAAAGCUGCUUUUCAGAAAUUCAUAGGCAGUAUGGUUAUUCCUAGACCAGACGUAAUAAUAAUAAAACCGUUUUUUUGGGAAAGAAUUGUGCUUGCCUCCACCCACCCAUUAUCUUUUUACUUGGGUGACCUCAGAUCAGGUAGGGAUACCCGCUGAA